Molecule: unclassified non-coding RNA, 459 nt
Filed under: uncultured Suillus
Lineage: Eukaryota; Fungi; Basidiomycota; Agaricomycetes; Boletales; Suillaceae
Description: sequence contains ITS2
Rfam family: 5.8S ribosomal RNA (bases 1-155)
Source: RNAcentral
AACUUUUAACAACGGAUCACGUGGCUCUCGCAUCGAUGAAGAACGCAGCGAAUCGCGAUAUGUAAUGUGAAUUGCAGAUCUACAGUGAAUCAUCGAAUCUUUGAACGCACCUUGCGCUCCUCGGUGUUCCGAGGAGCAUGCCUGUUUGAGCGUCAGUUAAUUCUCAACCCCUCUCGAUUAGCUUCGAGCGGGGCCUGGAUAGUGGGAGCUGCCGGAGACCUGAAAUCAUUUUUUCUCAGGACUCGGGCUCCCCUGACAUGCAUCGGCUUGCGGUCGACUGUCGACUUUGCGCGACAAGGCUUUCGGCGUGAUAAUGAUCGCCGUUCGCCGAAGCGCACGAAUGACCCGUCCCGCGCCUCUAAUCAGUCGACGCCUUUCGGGGCGUCUUCCUUAUAGACGUUUGACCUCAAAUCAGGUAGGACUACCCGCUGAACUUAAGCAUAUCAAUAAGCGGAGGCU